Coregonus clupeaformis (lake whitefish) is the source of this 809-nucleotide long non-coding RNA. RefSeq lists it as uncharacterized. The record is from RefSeq and is a predicted model, not a curated record. Lineage: Eukaryota; Metazoa; Chordata; Actinopteri; Salmoniformes; Salmonidae. The transcript is spliced from 4 exons.
AAUGGGUUAAUGGUUAUGUUUAGUCGUCUAGAUUCUUCUUUUAACAGAUGUGGCCGCUCAGAGAAUAGAAUUAGUAACAUGCAAAGAAGGACCACACAAGGGUGAUUUCAGGAAAUAUGACCAAGACAUUUGCACGCCAAAAGACAGGAAGUGAUCAACCAGUGUCCCAGUGUUGAAGACAUGAAAGACAGAUAGCCUGCUCUGUUUAGAAGCCUCUCAGAUCAAUGAACAAUUCCACAGGCUCACCGCAAAGCAUCUUGAGGCAAGGUUUAUACAGGACACCCCUAAGCUGCUGUCCUUAUUCCAUUCCAAGGGAGGAGUACUUUCAGACAGAUUGCGGGUCAUGCUGGAUGGAAGCUGAGGGGGGUCAUUUCCUGCAAGACCUUGCGCAACAUGUAAAGCAAAUCUAUGUGAUCAACAAGGAGGGUGCCGUGGCGAGUGAUGGUCCAGAGGAGGUCAGGAACGGUGUCCUCUACCACAGGCCCGCUUGUUGUUGGUGAAGCCGCCUGGGGCACAGAAUCUGUGCUGGGACCAACCUCUGCCUACCGGGGGAUGGUCACCGAGAGGCGGGGCUCGAGCACAUUGCGGUCUGGGACCCCGUCCCUGAUGGGCCCGUGGCGGUCAUCUAGGCUAAAGAGGUUAGAGGGUAAGGAAGACACGUUUAUUCUGCAAGGUGUGUUUUAAAGGGUCACUGCCACAGUAUUUUCCAUUGUGUUUUUGUAUACAAGAGAUACCAAAUAGGUGUUUUUAAUGAAGGAUGUCAUUGUAAAAUGUAAUGUCCAUUUUGUUCCCAUACAGUUGCGGUUUGA